RNAcentral lists this long non-coding RNA (1473 nucleotides) under Mytilus galloprovincialis (Mediterranean mussel). The record is from RNAcentral. Lineage: Eukaryota; Metazoa; Mollusca; Bivalvia; Mytilida; Mytilidae.
GGCCGUGAAGACAAAAUUUUACAAUAUCGGAUCCGAUUCCGGAGACGGAUAAGUAUAAUUCCGGGUUUGGCGAUCAAUUACUAAAUAAAUAAAAGCAGGUGAAAAAAUAAAUCUAUGCAUGGUAAAUGAAUAUAAACACUAGAAUUGUAAACCAAAAGAUAUAUGUAAAAGAAAGAAAAAGCAGAAAAAUAUUUUAUACAGAAACUCAAAAUUACUUUUUGACAAAUUUUAAUUUAAAAAUCCAAUACAAAGUGACAGCAGGGAACAGUAUAUCUAACAAUAUACAUGUUCAUGGUCACAGUCUAAAUUUUCUUUAUCAGUGAUAAAUGAUGAUAAUGCAUGUAAGAUGCUUUUAAAGUGUAAACAUAUUACUGCAAUUUCGAAGGGUUAUUUGUUUUUUCUCAAUUUUGAAGGGUCAAUUAAAGUAGCUAAAAGUUUCUUUAUUUUCACAAAUAAUGCACUAUAUUAUAUAUACCUAAUUGUAAGUAAAUCAUAUGAUAUAUAGGUGGCAUUCUUUGGGUCACUCUACCCCUCCUGUUUGAUAACUUGGAAACGGUCGAGCUCCCCCCCCCUAAACCAUACGAGGGGUAGAUCCAGGAUUUUAGGUCAGGAGGGGCGCAAACAUAAAUUUUCGCCGAGCAGAGCGAGGCUAAAAAAAUUUGAGGUAAAAUUAUCGGAAUAUUCUUUAUUAAGCUGAGAACAACCCAUGCUUUGCAAAUUUAAGGGGGUGCAACCAUAUAUAUUCAUAUUUGUGACAAUAUGAAAAAUCAAAUGAAAUAUAGGAAGAGUCGCUGGGGGUCACCCCACCCUUCCUGUUUUAGAAUUUAAAAAUGGUCCAGAUCCCACCCCUAAACCAUAUAUAUUCAUGUAUGGGACAAUAUAACAAAUCAGAUGAAAUAUAGGGGGAGUCCCUUGGGUCACCCCACCCCCUCCUGUUUGAGAAUUUGAAACCCGUUGAGAUCGCCACCCUUAACCAUAUAUUCAUGUACGGGACAAUAUAACAAUUCAAAUGAAAGAUAGGAAGAGUCCCUGAGGUCACUGUACACCCUCCUUUUUGAGAACUUGGAAAUGGUCAAGAUCCUUACCCCUAAACCAUAUAUACUCAUGUAUGUGACAAUAUAACAAAUCAAAUCAAAUAAAGGGGAAGUCCCUGUGGUCACCCCAACCCUCCUGUUUGAGAACUUGGAAAUGGUUGAGAUCCCCACACCAAAACAAUAUAUAUUCAUGUAUGAGGCAAAUUAUAACUAAUUAAAUGAAAUAUAUGUGGAGUCCCUGGGGUCACCCUACCCCUCCUGUUUGAGAACUUGGAAACCAAUGAGAUCCCCACCCCUAAACCAUAUAUAUUCAUGUUUGGGACAAUAUAACAAAUAAAAUGAAAUAUAGGGGAAGUCCCUAGGGUCACCCUACCCCCAGUGGCGGAUCCAGAAUUUUUCAUAAGUGGGGGCCGCUGACUGACCUAAGAGGGGGCCCGCU